GAUGAACGCUAGCGGCAGGCCUAAUACAUGCAAGUCGGACGGGAUUUGGGAGCUUGCUCCUGAUGAGAGUGGCGCACGGGUGCGUAACACGUAUGUAACCUACCCAUAUCAGGGGGAUAGCCUCUCGAAAGAGAGAUUAAGCCCGCAUAACAUUAACUUAUGGCAUCAUAGGAUAAUCAAAUAUUUAUAGGAUAUGGAUGGGCAUGCGGAACAUUAGCUAGUUGGUAAGGUAACGGCUUACCAAGGCUACGAUGUUUAGGGGAUCUGAGAGGAUGACCCCCCACACUGGUACUGAGACACGGACCAGACUCCUACGGGAGGCAGCAGUAAGGAAUAUUGGUCAAUGGACGGAAGUCUGAACCAGCCAUGCCGCGUGCAGGAAGACGGCCCUACGGGUUGUAAACUGCUUUUGCAGGGGAAUAAACCUUCGUAUGUAUACGAAGCUGAAUG
This 450-nucleotide ribosomal RNA is filed under the name bacterium Ellin7508. RNAcentral's name for it is "bacterial SSU rRNA". It matches the Rfam family "Bacterial small subunit ribosomal RNA", at positions 28 to 475 of the family's 1533-position model. The record is from RNAcentral.